UACGUAGGAUGCAGGCGUUAAUCGGAAUUACUGGGCGUAAAGCGUGCGCAGGCGGCUCCUUAAGUCAGAUGUGAAAUCCCCGGGCUUAACCUGGGAACUGCGCUUGUAACUGAGAGGCUAGAGUGUGGCAGAGGGGGGUGGAAUUCCACGUGUAGCAGUGAAAUGCGUAGAGAUGUGGAGGAACACCGAUGGCGAAGGCAGCCCCCUGGGCUAACACUGACGCUCAUGCACGAAAGCGUGGGGAGCAAACAGG
RNAcentral lists this ribosomal RNA (253 nucleotides) under uncultured bacterium. RNAcentral's name for it is "partial 16S ribosomal RNA". It matches the Rfam family "Bacterial small subunit ribosomal RNA", at positions 524 to 776 of the family's 1533-position model. The record is from RNAcentral.